UUAUUUGAAACAGGAUACAACCUUACAUAUAGGGUAAGUAAAAAACAAUAAAAAUAAAGUAGGCCUAAAAGCAGCCAUCUUUAAGAAAGCGUCAUAGCUCCACCACACUUAAUUCACAAUUACCUCAAUUUCCCCUAACCCUUUACCCCUACUGAACCACUUUAUAUUAUUAUAAAAGCCACUAUGCUAGGACCAGUAACAAGAACUUACUUUUCUCCUUAAUAUAAAUAUAAGCCAAAACGGAUAACCCAUUGGUAAUUAACGUUUAUGAACCCCUUAUAACAACUCUAACUAGAAAACCUUAUAUCUACAAACGUUAACCUUACACUAGAAUAUUAAAGGAAAGAUUAAAAGAAAGAGAAGGAACUCGGCAAAUUUUAACCCCGCCUGUUUACCAAAAACAUCGCCUCUUGAUAAACAUAAGAGGUCCAGCCUGCCCAGUGACAAUGUUCAACGGCCGCGGUACCCUAACCGUGCAAAGGUAGCAUAAUCACUUGUUCUUUAAAUGAGGACUUGUAUCAACGGCACCACGAGGGUUGCACUGUCUCCUCUUUCCAAUCAGUGAAACUGAUCUCCCCGUGAAGAAGCUGGGAUUUUAGU
This 600-nucleotide ribosomal RNA is filed under the name Chalcorana rufipes. Its description in RNAcentral is "Hylarana rufipes partial 16S ribosomal RNA". The stretch from base 346 to 560 matches the Rfam family "Bacterial large subunit ribosomal RNA", at positions 1692 to 2034 of the family's 2925-position model. The record is from RNAcentral. Lineage: Eukaryota; Metazoa; Chordata; Amphibia; Anura; Ranidae.